RNAcentral lists this ribosomal RNA (453 nucleotides) under uncultured organism. RNAcentral describes it as "partial 16S ribosomal RNA". It matches the Rfam family "Bacterial small subunit ribosomal RNA", at positions 334 to 804 of the family's 1533-position model. The record is from RNAcentral.
CACUCCUACGGGAGGCAGCAGUGGGGAAUUUUACGCAAUGGGGGAAACCCUGACGUAGCGACACCGCGUGAGCGAAGAAGCCCUUUGGGGUGUAAAGCUCUGUCAGCUGGAACGAAAACAAUGACGGUACCAGCAGAGGAAGCAUCGGCUAACUACGUGCCAGCAGCCGCGGUAAGACGUAGGAUGCGAGCGUUGUCCGGAUUUAUUGGGCGUAAAGAGUUCGUAGGUGGUUUGUUAAGUUUGGUGUUAAAGAUCGGGGCUCAACCCUGGGACUGCACUGAAUACUGGCAGACUCGAGUGUGGUAGAGGCUAGUGGAAUUCCCAGUGUAGCGGUGAAAUGCGUAGAUAUUGGGAAGAACACCGGUGGCGUAGGCGACUAGCUGGGCCAUAACUGACGCUGAGGAACGAAAGCCAGGGGAGCGAAUGGGAUUAGAAACCCGUGUAGUCCCAUGA